CUGCUCAAUGAUUUUUUAAAUUGCUGUGGUAUUUUGACUAUACAAAGGUAUUGUAAUAAGAUUUUAAUUGAAUGCUAAAAGAAUGGAAAUUUAAAAAAAAACUUUUUUAAAAAUAAAAAUUGAAUUUUUUUUAAUUUGUGCAAAAACAAUUAUAUUUAUUAAAGACAAGAAGACCCUAAGAAUUUAAGAUUUUACAAUUAAAAAGUUUUUUUUUUAAAAUCUUGAUUGGGGCGAUCAAAAAAUAUUAAUAACUUUUUAAAAUUUAAAUUGAUCUAUUAUUAAUAAACUAAUGAAUUAAAUACUCUAGGGAUAACAGCGUAAUAAUUUUUGAUAGAUCUUAUUAACAAAAUAGUUUGCGACCUCGAUGUUGGAUUAGGAUUCUUUUUUAAUGAAGAAGUAAUAAUACUGCACCCAAGUGCC
RNAcentral lists this ribosomal RNA (420 nucleotides) under Ixodida sp. RNAcentral's name for it is "partial large subunit ribosomal RNA". Lineage: Eukaryota; Metazoa; Arthropoda; Arachnida; Ixodida. The record is from RNAcentral.